RNAcentral lists this ribosomal RNA (684 nucleotides) under Triticum aestivum (bread wheat). Its description in RNAcentral is "partial small subunit ribosomal RNA". The record is from RNAcentral. Lineage: Eukaryota; Viridiplantae; Streptophyta; Magnoliopsida; Poales; Poaceae.
AUGUCCCACAAAGAUUUUGUCCUUGUGGCCGUGACACUCUGGUCGAUUUGGUACGCUAGGAGGAAAGCCAUCCAUGAGGCGAUCUUCCAAAGUCCCCACGCCACACAUGGUUUUAUCAUGAGCUUCAUCUCUAAACUGGAAGGGAUAAAGGGCAGCCAAGAGCAAAGAGACAGGGUCGUGCUGACGCCCAUACAUAGAAAUUUGAAGCCGAAAAAACCACCAACAGGAUACUGCAAAAUCCAUGUUGAUGCAGGAGUCCAGGGAAGGACAGGGGGUGCAGCCGCUGCAGUCUGCAGGGAUGAAGGUGGUAAUUAUCUUGGCAGCUCUGCUCUUGUGAUUGAAGGUGUUACCGAUCCAGCAAGUCUAGAAGCAAUAGCAUGCCGGGAGGCACUAGCCCUCGCCGAGGACUUGGACAUUCAUCAUUUUGUGGUUGCUUCGGACUGCCAGCAGGUGGUGUCGGAUAUCAGGAGAGAUGGCCGAGGUCCAUAUGGAGCAAUCAUCAGCGAGAUAAAUCUGAAAGUUUCAUCUUUCCAUUGUACUUUUACUUUCGAAAGUCGUGCUGUUAAUUAUGAAGCACAUAGCUUAGCAAAAUUUUGUUUAAAUAGGGGUCCGGGCAGGCACGUUUGGCUUGGUGCCCCUCAUGACCCAAGAUGUAUCCCACUCAAUGUGGAAUUCCAUGAAUAA